This 322-nucleotide ribosomal RNA is filed under the name Bacillus sp. CJB6-0-5. RNAcentral's name for it is "bacterial SSU rRNA". It matches the Rfam family "Bacterial small subunit ribosomal RNA", at positions 54 to 354 of the family's 1533-position model. Lineage: Bacteria; Bacillati; Bacillota; Bacilli; Caryophanales; Bacillaceae. The record is from RNAcentral.
ANCGCGNCCUANCAUGCAGUCGAGCGAAUCGAUGGGAGCUUGCUCCCUGAGAUUAGCGGCGGACGGGUGAGUAACACGUGGGCAACCUGCCUAUAAGACUGGGAUAACUUCGGGAAACCGGAGCUAAUACCGGAUACGUUCUUUUCUCGCAUGAGAAAAGAUGGAAAGACGGUUUACGCUGUCACUUAUAGAUGGGCCCGCGGCGCAUUAGCUAGUUGGUGAGGUAAUGGCUCACCAAGGCGACGAUGCGUAGCCGACCUGAGAGGGUGAUCGGCCACACUGGGACUGAGACACGGCCCAGACUCCUACGGAAGGCAGCAGA